GAUGAACGCUGGCGGCGUGCCUAAUACAUGCAAGUCGAGCGAACAGACGAGAGUGCUUGCACUCUCUGACGUUAGCGGCGGACGGGUGAGUCACACGUGUGUAACCUACCUAUAAGACUGGGAUCACUUCGGGAAACCGGAGCUAAUACCGGAUAAUAUUUAGCUUCGCAUGAAGCAAUAGUGAAAGACGGUUCUGCUGUCACUUAUAGAUGGACCCGCGGUGUAUUAGCUAGUUGGUGAGGUAACGGCUCACCAAGGCAACGAUACAUAGCCGACCUGAGAGGGUGAUCGGCCACACUGGGACUGAGACACGGCCCAGACUCCUAAGGGAGGCAGCAGUAGGGAAUCUUCCGCAAUGGACGAAAGUCUGACGGAGCAAUGCCGCGUGAGUGAAGAAGGUUUUCGGAUCGUAAAACUCUGUUGUAAGGGAAGAACAAGUACGUUAGUAACUGAACGUACCUUGACGGUACCUUAACAGAAAGCCACGGCUAACUACGUG
Molecule: ribosomal RNA, 499 nt
Filed under: uncultured bacterium
Lineage: Bacteria
Description: partial 16S ribosomal RNA
Rfam family: Bacterial small subunit ribosomal RNA
Source: RNAcentral